CAACAGUAGCUCCGUUUAUAGCGUAAUUGGCUGUUAACCGAGUGGGCGCAGGAACAAGAAUCCUGCCUGUUGCG
Molecule: transfer RNA, 74 nt
Filed under: Listeria innocua
Lineage: Bacteria; Bacillati; Bacillota; Bacilli; Caryophanales; Listeriaceae
Description: tRNA-Asn
Source: RNAcentral